UAUGUCGCAUUGGGCCGAGCUUGGACAAGCAUAAAAUAUGUUAAUAUCACGCUUAGGCCCGGUCCAGACCUG
Non-coding RNA from Gossypium raimondii (Peruvian cotton), 72 nucleotides. The record is from Rfam. Lineage: Eukaryota; Viridiplantae; Streptophyta; Magnoliopsida; Malvales; Malvaceae.